RNAcentral lists this ribosomal RNA (497 nucleotides) under uncultured bacterium. Its description in RNAcentral is "partial 16S ribosomal RNA". It matches the Rfam family "Bacterial small subunit ribosomal RNA", at positions 28 to 507 of the family's 1533-position model. The record is from RNAcentral.
GAUGAACGCUGGCGGCGUGCCUAAUACAUGCAAGUCGAGCGAACAGACGAGGAGCUUGCUCCUCUGACGUUAGCGGCGGACGGGUGAGUAACACGUGGAUAACCUACCUAUAAGACUGGGAUAACUUCGGGAAACCGGAGCUAAUACCGGAUAAUAUAUUGAACCGCAUGGUUCAAUAGUGAAAGACGGUUUUGCUGUCACUUAUAGAUGGAUCCGCGCCGCAUUAGCUAGUUGGUAAGGUAACGGCUUACCAAGGCGACGAUGCGUAGCCGACCUGAGAGGGUGAUCGGCCACACUGGAACUGAGACACGGUCCAGACUCCUACGGGAGGCAGCAGUAGGGAAUCUUCCGCAAUGGGCGAAAGCCUGACGGAGCAACGCCGCGUGAGUGAUGAAGGUCUUCGGAUCGUAAAACUCUGUUAUUAGGGAAGAACAAAUGUGUAAGUAACUAUGCACGUCUUGACGGUAUCUAAUCAGAAAGCCACGGCUAACUACGUG